UGUGUUUCCAUAGAUUAUCUCUGUAUGAAUGUACUUCUUAAAUGAAGGCAAGUGUUUGUCCUUUUUUGUUCCUCAGGUACAGUACGUGAUAUUAAGGGCAGGCGGUCAUCACUGGGGGAAGACAAGAAGCAGACGUACUUCCAAGAGGGAGCUGCAGUGAGGACACAGCCUGGUCACUGAGGUCAGAGGAGGCGCUGAAAGGUUUCCCUAAUAGUUCCUGGUGAAUCAAAGCAGAACCAUAAAGGUUGCUGGACUGCAUGAUGGCCUUACCCCUGAGCAGUCAUCCUGUUAAUGGAGGAACCAGUUAGAAGCUGUUUUCAAAGUAGCUGAGCAGAUUUCACCUCAACAGACAAAGCCGAUGGCAGAAGAUGUUUGGAGAAGAACUUCAGGCCGUGGACUGAAAAGGUAUUUUUUUCUUGUUAUCAAAAGACAUUUGGAGUGACGGCUUCUACAACUGUGCUGAAGUAAAGCUUACAGUCUAAGAAGUCACAGUGUUGAUAUUCAGCACAAAGAGAAAAGCUCACUUGUUUGAAUUUAUUUACAAUCAUAGUUU
Oreochromis niloticus (Nile tilapia) is the source of this 553-nucleotide long non-coding RNA. RefSeq lists it as uncharacterized. The transcript is spliced from 3 exons. The record is from RefSeq and is a predicted model, not a curated record. Lineage: Eukaryota; Metazoa; Chordata; Actinopteri; Cichliformes; Cichlidae.